AGGGUCAGAAGUCAGCCAGUGGAAGAAAUCAGGUUUGCUCUUUGGCUUCUUAUUUAUACAUUGCUUGCCGGCAAGAGGACAAGACAAGAUCCAUUACGAGUACCAAACAAUUUUGGUUUAUUUGUAUAUAUUUGGCAGUUGGAGCUUGAAACCGGACAAUCUGUUGAAAUGGGAACCAUCCACGCCGGAGAUUUUAUGCGGCUCAAGAGUCUGUGCAGAAGUUAAAGGAGUUCAAUAUAAGGUUACAUCAUUAACCACUACUGUCUUAUCGUUUUUUAUGUUUUUGUCGAUUUUAUGAUUAUUCGUACGUGGAGCUUUUAACCCUUUGUUUGCAAGACGAGUCACAUACCUAUUGCAGCAGAAGUUAUAAACAACACAGCUCUCUGAUUAGAAGAAGCCUCUCCGAGGUGUAUUGGUGGCAACUGGACUAGCAGAAGAAACUAUAAGAAACUCUUACAUAGAUAUCUCCCCUCACUUUUCCAAGAUCAAACCAGCAGAUGAAAAAUUUUGAACCCUGGCCAGAAUGUCUUUUUUUUUUUGGACAAACCCUGGCCAGAAUGUCUAAUAUAGCUUUUGCCAGUGCUUUUUGAAAAUCUCUUUUGUGUUGCAUUGGGGAUGAACAAUUGUCACCUUAACUAUGAAUCUAUGAGAUUGGGGGGUAUUUCCAACAGCAGGUGAGGGAUUUAGUAUUCCUAAACUUCUCCCCAGAAGGAGUGGCACUUUCAUUUGUUUAGAGUCUUUCUAUGCCAAGCGAAUAUAUCAGUGGUAACUUGAGUUGCCGAAGAAAUUAUAGUAAACUCUUACGAAGAUCUCUACUCUCACCCUCGAAGUAGUCCUAUGCAAUUAUAUCUGGUUUCCAAGAGUUUAUUUCUUUAGAAUUGUAUUAAG
This is a long non-coding RNA of Brassica oleracea var. oleracea, 888 nucleotides long. RefSeq lists it as uncharacterized. NCBI's taxonomy places the organism in Eukaryota, Viridiplantae, Streptophyta, Magnoliopsida, Brassicales, Brassicaceae. The transcript is spliced from 4 exons. The record is from RefSeq and is a predicted model, not a curated record.